UGGGGAAUCUUGCGCAAUGGGCGAAAGCCUGACGCAGCGACGCCGCGUGAGUGAUGAAGGCCUUCGGGUUGUAAAGCUCUGUGGGGAGAGACGAAUAAGUGCAGCCUAAUACGUUGCAUGAUGACGGUAUCUCCUUAGCAAGCACCGGCUAACUCUGUGCCAGCAGCCGCGGUAAGACAGAGGGUGCAAACGUUGUUCGGAAUUACUGGGCGUAAAGCGUGUGUAGGCGGUCCACUAAGUCGGGUGUGAAAGCCCUGGGCUCAACCCAGGAAGUGCACUCGAAACUGGCGGGCUAGAGUAUCGGAGAGGUUGGUGGAAUUCUCGGUGUAGAGGUGAAAUUCGUAGAUAUCGAGAGGAACACCGGUGGCGAAGGCGGCCAACUGGACGAAUACUGACGCUGAGACACGAAAGCGUGGGGAGCAAACAGGAUUAGAUACCCAGGUAGUCCACGCCGUAAACGAUGGGUGCUAGGUGUCGCGGGCUUUGACC
This 489-nucleotide ribosomal RNA is filed under the name uncultured Pseudomonadota bacterium. Its description in RNAcentral is "bacterial SSU rRNA". It matches the Rfam family "Bacterial small subunit ribosomal RNA", at positions 355 to 837 of the family's 1533-position model. Lineage: Bacteria; Pseudomonadati; Pseudomonadota. The record is from RNAcentral.